RNAcentral lists this ribosomal RNA (301 nucleotides) under uncultured bacterium. Its description in RNAcentral is "partial 16S ribosomal RNA". It matches the Rfam family "Bacterial small subunit ribosomal RNA", at positions 509 to 807 of the family's 1533-position model. The record is from RNAcentral.
CAGUCGCCGCGGGAAUACGUAGGUGGCAAGCGUUGUCCGGAAUUAUUGGGCGUAAAGGGCUCGCAGGCGGUUUCUUAAGUCUGAUGUGAAAGCCCCCGGCUCAACCGGGGAGGGUCAUUGGAAACUGGGAAACUUGAGUGCAGAAGAGGAGAGUGGAAUUCCACGUGUAGCGGUGAAAUGCGUAGAGAUGUGGAGGAACACCAGUGGCGAAGGCGACUCUCUGGUCUGUAACUGACGCUGAGGAGCGAAAGCGUGGGGAGCAAACAGGAUUAGAUACCCCCGUAGUCCCUGUCUCUUAUAC